This 252-nucleotide ribosomal RNA is filed under the name uncultured bacterium. Its description in RNAcentral is "partial 16S ribosomal RNA". It matches the Rfam family "Bacterial small subunit ribosomal RNA", at positions 524 to 775 of the family's 1533-position model. The record is from RNAcentral.
UACAGAGGGUGCAAGCGUUAAUCGGAAUUACUGGGCGUAAAGCGUGCGUAGACGGUUAUGUAAGUCAGAUGUGAAAGCCCCGGGCUUAACCUGGGAAUGGCAUUUGAGACUGCAUAGCUAGGGUGCGGAAGAGGGAAGCGGAAUUUCCGGUGUAGCGGUGAAAUGCGUAGAUAUCGGAAGGAACACCAGUGGCGAAAGCGGCUUCCUGGUCCAGCACCGACGUUCAGGCACGAAAGCGUGGGGAGCAACAGG